Molecule: ribosomal RNA, 763 nt
Filed under: Mallocybe arenaria
Lineage: Eukaryota; Fungi; Basidiomycota; Agaricomycetes; Agaricales; Inocybaceae
Description: 16S ribosomal RNA
Rfam family: Bacterial small subunit ribosomal RNA
Source: RNAcentral
AGUCAGAUAUUAGUCAAUGCUCGCCAGAGUGUACUAGCUACUGAAAUCACAANAUCACAGAUAGGUGCUAAUUGUGAUAACGUAAGGGGAAAAAUUGAUAUUACCUUACUAAAAGUGUUGUCUAAAUAACUGGUGCCAGAAGACUCGGUAACACCAGAAACGCGAACGUUAGUCGUCUUAAACAGGCGUAAAGGGUAAGUAGGCUGCUUUAAAUUUUUAUUUUUAUAAAAGCUAAAUAAUAAAUUUUGCUUAGUAAUAACUACUAGCUUGUUAGUCUAAGACUUAGUAGCAAGUAAUAUCUUGCUUACAAGUAAGUUCAAGUAUAACUUUUGUUAGUAGUUACAACAAUACGAAGUUAGCUAGCUAAUUCAAAGAAUCAAGCUACUAAAUUUUUAAUUUAUUAAAUAAUAUAAAGAUAGGUAUACUUAAAGCUAGAAUCAUAAUUGAGAUAAACCAAAUAAUACUAAAGUGUAAGGGUAAAAUCUAAAAAUACUAAGUAGAAUACUAACGGUGAAAACUUUUUAUCUAGGAGUGAUUGACGCUGAGGUACGAAAGUGAGAACAGGGAAUAGGAUUAGAUACCCAGUUACCUCUCACCGUCAACGAUGAAUGGCAGUUGUUAGUCUCUAAGUAAAAUUAAAUUAAAACUAGUGACGAUGUUAACGCGAUAACUAUUACGCCUGAGAGUACUGUUGCAAAACUGAACCAAAAAAAUUAGUCGGUCUCGGAGCCAACGGAGUGAAGCAUGUUAUUUANUCGAUAUC